RNAcentral lists this ribosomal RNA (462 nucleotides) under uncultured bacterium. RNAcentral describes it as "partial 16S ribosomal RNA". It matches the Rfam family "Bacterial small subunit ribosomal RNA", at positions 28 to 507 of the family's 1533-position model. The record is from RNAcentral.
GACGAACGCUGGCGGCGUGCUUAACACAUGCAAGUCGAGCGGAAAGGCCCUUCGGGGUACUCGAGCGGCGAACGGGUGAGUAACACGUGAGUAACCUGCCCUAGGCUUUGGGAUAACCCCGGGAAACCGGGGCUAAUACCGGAUAUGACCUGGUGCCGCAUGGUGUUGGGUGGAAAGUUUUUUCGGCCUGGGAUGGGCUCGCGGCCUAUCAGCUUGUUGGUGGGGUGAUGGCCUACCAAGGCGAUGACGGGUAGCCGGCCUGAGAGGGCGACCGGCCACACUGGGACUGAGACACGGCCCAGACUCCUACGGGAGGCAGCAGUGGGGAAUAUUGCACAAUGGGCGGAAGCCUGAUGCAGCGACGCCGUGCGAGGGAUGAAGGCCUUCGGGUUGUAAACCUCUUUCAGCAGGGACGAAGCGUGAGUGACGGUACCUGCAGAAGAAGCGCCGGCCAACUACGUG